GGGCUCACACAAGCGGUGGAGGAUGUGGCUUAAUUCGAGGCAACGCGAAGAACCUUAUCCUGGACUUGACAUGUUUGGAUGGCUCGCCUGAAAGGGAUGAGUCUGCCUUCGGGUGAAACUUACACAGGUGCUGCAUGGCUGUCGUCAGCUCGUGUCGUGAGACGUCGCGUUAAGUCGCUUAACGAGCGCAACCCUUGUCCUUAGUUGCCAGCACGUAAUGGUGGGGACUCUAAGGAGACUGCCGGUGUUAAACCGGAGGAAGGCGGGGACGACGUCAAGUCAUCAUGGCCUUUAUGUCCAGGGCUGCACACGUCCUACAAUGCAACAUACAGAGGGCAGCGAACCUGCAAAGGUAAGCAAAUCUCAAAAAGUGUCGCUUAGUUCGGAUUGCAGGCUGCAACUCGCCUGCAUGAAGCUGGAAUCGCUAGUAA
Molecule: ribosomal RNA, 431 nt
Filed under: uncultured bacterium
Lineage: Bacteria
Description: bacterial SSU rRNA
Rfam family: Bacterial small subunit ribosomal RNA
Source: RNAcentral